Molecule: RNA transcript, 4112 nt
Organism: Etheostoma spectabile (orangethroat darter)
Lineage: Eukaryota; Metazoa; Chordata; Actinopteri; Perciformes; Percidae
Gene: znf710b
Gene name: zinc finger protein 710b
Exons: 6
Source: RefSeq, a predicted model, not a curated record
GACUUGUUGGAAGAAUAUUUGUUUGUUUGUGUCUGGUCUGGCUGGUGUGACCAGAGUCCCUGCCGAAACUGUGUUGAAGAAGAAGACGAAGCGGGGUGGAGGCGGGUAAUGUUAGCCCCGCCUCCCCUCAUCCCUCACUUAUAAAUCGGAGGCGAACGUAGCCUGUUCUCACUCAACACUCGCAUGAAGAAUGAGAUCCUUAAAGCACCUGAAACCUCACAGCAGGAGGAGUGUGGAGGAGGCGAGCCGGCGCCUGGGUAGAUGUGAGCCCAAGGUAAUGGCCAGGCUGGUGGACAUAGGCACACAGACAGACCCCGUAGUCGUGCUGUCCCUGGCCCAGGCCGCCGUGCUAGGUCUCAUCUCCCAGAAUGAAGUGUUUGGCGCUACCAUUGCACCCAACGGCUUCUACACCGGCGAACCCAAAGAGUCCCCUGCACCACCAGUAGACGGCGUUGACUACGAGUACGCAGACCAGCUUAUCGGAGCCAACGGAGAUUAUUUGGGAGACAACUUGGGAGAAGACGGACAGAUGCAACCCAGUUGCAGUCAGAGGAGGUGGCAGCAGGGGCCCCCUCAACAUCCGGAUGCGAAAAUGGUGGGCCCCGAUCGUCACAGCCUUCAAGGCGGUGACGUGUCCUCAUCACAUGUGUCCUCUUCCCACGUGAAAGGGGAAGUGGUGAACUCUGCAAUGUCCUCCUGUGUCCACAUGCUUAACAAUCUGGCUCCCAGAGGUGGUUUGGUACAAGUGGAUCCAGCCACCCUCAGAAGUAACAACAAGAACUGUGUAGAGUGUGAGCGGGAAGCAUCCAACCAGCCGCAAGCCAACACACACGGUCACCCUCCUCCCCCCCAGGUGAGCCACAGAGGAGGGGAGCAGGGCCACAGAGGACUGCAGAGCCAGCGCCCAAUGGGGGGCCACAGCCGAGGUGGCAGAGAGGACGAAGAAGAUGUAGAGCACCAGGGGAACAACAUGAUGAAGCCCACCCAGCAGGACGAAGCCAUCAGCAGCUACUUCCAGACGAGCGAAGUAGGCAGCUAUGAUUCAGCCGAAAUGGGCAUGGCGGGCGAGUACGAAGACAGCAGCCAGAACAUGAUGUGGACGGAUGGGAAUGCAGGUGCGCAGCAUCAGCAGCCCCCGCACCCCCAGCCUCCUCGUCGCCACGGCGGCCGCAGAGUGGACCGGCUAGAUAUCAAUAUCCAGAUUGAUGAAUCUUACUGCGUGGAUGUGGGAGAUGGUCUGAAGCGCUGGAAGUGUCGCAUGUGUGAUAAAUCGUACACCUCCAAAUACAACUUGGUCACGCACAUCCUGGGCCACAAUGGCAUCAAACCACACGCCUGUCCACAUUGCGGGAAACUCUUCAAGCAGCCCAGUCAUCUUCAAACCCACCUGCUGACCCACCAAGGUACGCGUCCCCACAAAUGCACCGUCUGCAAGAAGGGCUUCACCCAGACCAGCCACCUGAAGCGACACAUGCUCCAGCACACUGACGUCAAGCCCUACAGCUGCCGUUUCUGCCGCCGCGGCUUUGCUUAUCCCAGCGAGCUGCGAGCGCACGAGGUGAAGCACGAGCGCGGACGUUGUCAUGUCUGCUCUCAGUGUGGCAUGGAGUUCCCCACCUACGCCCACCUCAAACGCCACCAAACCAGCCACCAGGGCCCCCACACCUUCCAGUGCACUGAGUGCAACAAGUCUUUCGCCUACCGCAGCCAGCUCCAGAACCACCUGCUGAAGCACCAGAGCCCAAGGCCUUACACCUGCUCCCAGUGCGGCCUGGAGUUUGUGCAGCUCCACCACCUGCGUCAGCACUCGCUCACUCAUAAGGGAAUGAAAGGCCACAAAUGUGACGUGUGUUCCCGGGAGUUCACCCUGUCGGCCAACCUGAAGAGGCACAUGCUGAUCCACAACAGCGUCAGACCGUUCCAGUGUCACGUCUGCUUCAAGAGCUUCAUCCAGAAACAGACACUUAAGACCCACAUGAUAGUCCACCUGCCUGUGAAGCCAUUCAAAUGCAAGGUAUGUGGCAAGUCUUUCAACAGAAUGUACAACCUGCUGGGCCACAUGCAUCUCCAUGCUGGCAGUAAGCCCUUCAAAUGUCCCUACUGCACCAGUAAGUUCAACCUGAAGGGAAACCUCAGCAGGCACAUGAAAGUCAAGCACGGAAUGGACGUCUCACCAGAAGGACAAGUUUGAGAUGGAUUGGGUGAUGUCAUGUACCUCCACGCAGAAUUUAUCCACAUUUGAUAAUCUGAUGACAGUUAUGGGAUUGCCUGCUUAUGGAGCCUGGCCACUGUCAAUCAAAUCUGAUCAAAUCUCACCCGCACAAAGUUCUUCCAGAAAUGGAUAGCCAGGGGGAGUAUGAAGGACAGAACUUCAGCUUUACAUCACCAGACAACAUGGACAAUGGUGGCUCCCAAAACCUCACUAAACUCACUACAGCAAACAUGGAGGACAUGGAGGAGUAUUACAAUUUCGGGAAGGAUACAAGCAGCUACGCUACACCUUGAGUGGUGAUGAACUGUUGAUCAUUUUUUUUGUUUUGUGAAGACAGAAAGAAAAUUUCAGAGUUGUUGUCAAGGCUUUGGGAGACACUGGGGACAGGGAUUGUUUUAGUUUUGGCCUCCUUCCAGAAGAGCCAGAACUGAUGGACUCUGAUGGGAGACCGGGAAGGAGACGCACUUCAAGAGACACGUUUUAGUUCUGUUGCUAUGGCAGAGACACUGAAACUGCGGACGCUGGUCAGGAGCUCCUUAAUUUUUUGGGGAUUACUGCGCCUACCGUCUCAAAGACUCUCACUGGCAGACAGUAUGUUGUGUGUAUGUAUCUGUUAUUUGAAGAAGAAAAAAAAGAAAAGAAAAAAAGUUGCAGAGCCAUCAGUUACAUUUGAUGUGAUAGAAAUAUGUUUACCAUUUUUGCCAUGUUUAUUGUCAUCCACAACCAAUGUAUGCCCUUAUAUUUUUGACUGAAAGUGCCAGCUAGAUACAUGUGCAACUAAGCUUCCACCAUGUCAGCUAUUUACUCACUGUAUAUUGAACUUUUGAUACAUAGUCACAACAUAUUCAUAGGUUUGAAUGCUCUUACUAAACAGUUCCUAAUUGUAGCUACCCAUUCCUGCCCAGCCCUCAGUUCAAACAGGCUGCUCUUUCAAUGCGUGUGUGCUUUCUGCACAGGACAUUGUAGUCUUUUUCUUGCCAGGGCACUUACUACCAAAGUUGCUACUGUCCCAUGUCGGCUGAUAACCAGAAAACAAUGUUACCGACAUGUAAAGCCCUGCCACUGUACAAAUGAUCCUGCAACGUGCAGUGUGUUUACACACCGUUUUUGUCUCACAUGGUUUAGCUUUACAUUAAUAUUCUAUCCCGUGUAGUGAAUAUACUGCUCAAAGCUUUUGAAUUACAGAGUGAACAAUACAAUACAUGCACUUUUUUUUUUUUUUUAUUGAGACCUGUCAUUUUUCUGUGAAGGCUGUCUCCAGUAGGAGUGAACUCAUUUGCCUCAAGGCGAAGAGCUGGGGGAAAUAAGAUCGUAGAAUCUUUCAAACCCCCAUAACGGCAAUAUUGAUAAACACAAACUGAUAUGCUUUCUCAGUAGGGUUUUUUUGUUUUUGUAAACUGAAGUUUCCUUGAUAUGGAUAUUUUACAGUUGUCAGUUUAAAUGCGAAUUGAAGAAUGAGCAGUUUGGAUGGAGAAUCAGCAGUUUGGGUUUUUUGUUGUUUGUAGUUUCAGCACUCUUAAAUCCAGGGCUGUUUUCACUUCACUUUCAAGUCACUUAAUUCAGAAAGAUAUUUCCUCUCUCAAGUGGGGGGGGGGGGGGGAAGCACUGACAGUGGAUAUAAAAUCCGGUCUAGAUUUAAAAGAAGAAGAAAAAAUUCUUUGCUGGUCCAGGUUACAUUUUGUAUGAUUGACUUGAAUGUGGACUGACACUAGUCCUGUUAUUCAUAAUUCUGUUUUGGGGAAGACAGUCAGCUCCCCCUGUCCUGCCAUGCAGGUCAGCCUUGAUAUGCACACUAAACCAGAGGAACCGUCUGCUAGUUCUUCUUUGAGAUGAGGAAUAUCAAACCGAGACCUCAUGGAAAUUGACCAUGACUUAUUUAAUAAAGGUUCUCUAGUUUAAA